AUGGAGGUUGUGAGGGACGGUGGUUUUGGAUACUUGCUUGAGCUAGAUGAUUGUUAUGUUCCACGACCAUUCGCACAGUGGGUCGCGGACAACAUAUCCACAAAAGAUGAAACAAUUGUACUUGACGGGAAAUCAAUUGCUCUCAACCCUGAAGCCGUAUCAUUAGUUCUUGGUAUACCAGCAGGCGGAACAAAGAUCAGAGUGCUAGACGAGGAGUGUGGGAAAGCAGAGUUCCUAUCACUGUUUGGGCUAACAGAACUUCCAUCCAUAAGUUUCUUUGGGAACAAGCUUAGGAACGAAGAACUGCCUGACGAUGUUUAUCUUCGGUGCUUCUUGACUGUCGCACUAGCAACCUUCCUGUGUCCCACAUCCAGCACAAAGCCAAGCACCAAAUAUUUGGGAGCACUUGUGGAUGUGUCAAAGUCAAAAGAUCUUGAUUGGUGCUCUUUUGUCCAUACAUGGAAUAUCUCCUAUGUCAAGAAGUACCAAACAGACAAGAUGAAGCAGAAACGGAUAACAACCACUUUGGGAGGCUGCAUUUAUCAGCUAGCAGUUCGGUGUCUAGACUUCAACAAUUUUGGAUCAAUAACAAUUCCACCAGCACUACCCAGGGUUUGUUUCUGGAAAGGACAAACCAUUAAACAUUUCAGUGAUAUGCUAAUUGGGAAAGAUGGAUUAUAUGGAGCUCUUCAAAUAAAAGAUGAGGCAGAAACUUGUUAUGCAGAAACUGACGGUGCAUGGGCAAGCACCGCCAAGAACUCAAACAUUCGAAAAGCUAUACAAAGGGUCUUAGGCAACUCUUUUUCAGAUAAGAUCAAAGAAGAUAUAUUCCUCAAUUUCCAGGAGCGCGUAAAAGAUCAAAACCUGACGACAUGUCUGAUAGCAAAACAAGUGCUGCUGGAUACUUUGAACAUUGUCUCUUCUUCUUUUAAUGGCUCUCAACAUACAGAGAAGUUAGAGUCAUCCGAGCACUUGUACAUGCCAUACAGAGAAGUUAGAGUUGAUUCUAAUGGGAUUGAAAUUGGCAGUGAUCGAAGAGGCAGGAAGAAGAGAAUGAAGACGAGUACACAGCAGUCAAUAACUUCAACAAGUAAGGAUGUAUUGUUGCAAGAUAAAAUAAAGCAAAGCACACCUGAAGUUGACACACAAGGAGUCAAAGCUGAAUUGUAA
RNAcentral lists this ribosomal RNA (1170 nucleotides) under Triticum aestivum (bread wheat). RNAcentral describes it as "partial small subunit ribosomal RNA". The record is from RNAcentral. Lineage: Eukaryota; Viridiplantae; Streptophyta; Magnoliopsida; Poales; Poaceae.